RNAcentral lists this ribosomal RNA (346 nucleotides) under Shigella sonnei. RNAcentral describes it as "bacterial SSU rRNA". It matches the Rfam family "Bacterial small subunit ribosomal RNA", at positions 454 to 796 of the family's 1533-position model. Lineage: Bacteria; Pseudomonadati; Pseudomonadota; Gammaproteobacteria; Enterobacterales; Enterobacteriaceae. The record is from RNAcentral.
AGGUUAAUACCCUCGCUCCUUGACGUUACCCACACAAAAACACCGGCUAACUCCGUGCCAGCAGCCGCGGUAAUACGGAGGGGGCAAGCGUUAAUCGGAAUUACUGGGCGUAAAGCGCGCGCAGGCGGUUUGUUAAGCCGGAUGUGAAAGCCCCGGGCUCAACCUGGGAACUGCAUCUGAAACUGGCAAGCUUGAGUACAGUAGAGGGGGGUGGAAUUCCAUGUGUAGCGGCGAAAUGCGUACAUAUUUGGAGGAACACCAGUGGCGAAGGCGGCUUCCUGGACUGAUACUGACUCUCAGGUGCGAAAGCGUGGGGAGCAAACAGGAUUAGAUACCCUGGCAGUCC